This 204-nucleotide long non-coding RNA is filed under the name Lupinus angustifolius (narrow-leaved blue lupine). RNAcentral's name for it is "long non-coding RNA (LANG_LNC003027)". Lineage: Eukaryota; Viridiplantae; Streptophyta; Magnoliopsida; Fabales; Fabaceae. The record is from RNAcentral.
CGCCACCAAAAAAAUAAGAAAAAAAGUCAUCAAAGAGUACAAAGACUUCAGUGCUAGGCUCAUGAAUGGAAGAGAAAACAGUCCUUCCAUCUAGUGACAUCUUCCUAGGCUUCAUGACAAAUAUGAAGUGGUGGAAUGAUUGCAGCCCUUAUUGAACCACAUUGUGAGCCUGGAUAGUCCUUCUUCUUCAUAUAUACGAAUCUU